RNAcentral lists this ribosomal RNA (1441 nucleotides) under Lacticaseibacillus rhamnosus. Its description in RNAcentral is "bacterial SSU rRNA". The record is from RNAcentral. Lineage: Bacteria; Bacillati; Bacillota; Bacilli; Lactobacillales; Lactobacillaceae.
GCAAGUCGAACGAGUUCUGAUUAUUGAAAGGUGCUUGCAUCUUGAUUUAAUUUUGAACGAGUGGCGGACGGGUGAGUAACACGUGGGUAACCUGCCCUUAAGUGGGGGAUAACAUUUGGAAACAGAUGCUAAUACCGCAUAAAUCCAAGAACCGCAUGGUUCUUGGCUGAAAGAUGGCGUAAGCUAUCGCUUUUGGAUGGACCCGCGGCGUAUUAGCUAGUUGGUGAGGUAACGGCUCACCAAGGCAAUGAUACGUAGCCGAACUGAGAGGUUGAUCGGCCACAUUGGGACUGAGACACGGCCCAAACUCCUACGGGAGGCAGCAGUAGGGAAUCUUCCACAAUGGACGCAAGUCUGAUGGAGCAACGCCGCGUGAGUGAAGAAGGCUUUCGGGUCGUAAAACUCUGUUGUUGGAGAAGAAUGGUCGGCAGAGUAACUGUUGUCGGCGUGACGGUAUCCAACCAGAAAGCCACGGCUAACUACGUGCCAGCAGCCGCGGUAAUACGUAGGUGGCAAGCGUUAUCCGGAUUUAUUGGGCGUAAAGCGAGCGCAGGCGGUUUUUUAAGUCUGAUGUGAAAGCCCUCGGCUUAACCGAGGAAGUGCAUCGGAAACUGGRAAACUUGAGUGCAGAAGAGGACAGUGGAACUCCAUGUGUAGCGGUGAAAUGCGUAGAUAUAUGGAAGAACACCAGUGGCGAAGGCGGCUGUCUGGUCUGUAACUGACGCUGAGGCUCGAAAGCAUGGGUAGCGAACAGGAUUAGAUACCCUGGUAGUCCAUGCCGUAAACGAUGAAUGCUAGGUGUUGGAGGGUUUCCGCCCUUCAGUGCCGCAGCUAACGCAUUAAGCAUUCCGCCUGGGGAGUACGACCGCAAGGUUGAAACUCAAAGGAAUUGACGGGGGCCCGCACAAGCGGUGGAGCAUGUGGUUUAAUUCGAAGCAACGCGAAGAACCUUACCAGGUCUUGACAUCUUUUGAUCACCUGAGAGAUCAGGUUUCCCCUUCGGGGGCAAAAUGACAGGUGGUGCAUGGUUGUCGUCAGCUCGUGUCGUGAGAUGUUGGGUUAAGUCCCGCAACGAGCGCAACCCUUAUGACUAGUUGCCAGCAUUUAGUUGGGCACUCUAGUAAGACUGCCGGUGACAAACCGGAGGAAGGUGGGGAUGACGUCAAAUCAUCAUGCCCCUUAUGACCUGGGCUACACACGUGCUACAAUGGAUGGUACAACGAGUUGCGAGACCGCGAGGUCAAGCUAAUCUCUUAAAGCCAUUCUCAGUUCGGACUGUAGGCUGCAACUCGCCUACACGAAGUCGGAAUCGCUAGUAAUCGCGGAUCAGCACGCCGCGGUGAAUACGUUCCCGGGCCUUGUACACACCGCCCGUCACACCAUGAGAGUUUGUAACACCCGAAGCCGGUGGCGUAACCCUUUUAGGGAGCGAGCCGUCUAA